Molecule: ribosomal RNA, 530 nt
Filed under: uncultured bacterium
Lineage: Bacteria
Description: bacterial SSU rRNA
Rfam family: Bacterial small subunit ribosomal RNA
Source: RNAcentral
AAUAGAUACCCGGGUAGUCCACGCCGUAAACGAUGAGUGCUAAGUGUUAGAGGGUUUCCGCCCUUUAGUGCUGCAGCUAACACAUUAAGCACUCCGCCUGGGGAGUACGGUCGCAAGACUGAAACUCAAAGGAAUUGACGGGGGCCCGCACAAGCGGUGGAGCAUGUGGUUUAAUUCGAAGCAACGCGAAGAACCUUACCAGGUCUUGACAUCCCACUGACCGGUAUAGAGAUAUACCUUUCCCUUCGGGGACAGUGGUGACAGGUGGUGCAUGGUUGUCGUCAGCUCGUGUCGUGAGAUGUUGGGUUAAGUCCCGCAACGAGCGCAACCCUUGAUCUUAGUUGCCAGCAUUUAGUUGGGCACUCUAAGGUGACUGCCGGUGACAAACCGGAGGAAGGUGGGGAUGACGUCAAAUCAUCAUGCCCCUUAUGACCUGGGCUACACACGUGCUACAAUGGAUGGUACAAAGGGCUGCAAGACUGCGAAGUCAAGCCAAUCCCAUAAAACCGAUUCUCAGUUCGGAUUGCAGG